UUUCAUAUGUAAAUAUACAUAUGACAACCUCAUUAUAUAAAUGAGAUUAUAUUUAAAAGAAUUAAAACCUAGUCUUUCUGAUUUUCAUAUGUUAAUAUGCAUAUGACAACCUCAUUAUAUAAAUGAGAUUAUAUUUACAAGAAUUAAAACCUAGUCUUUCUCAUUUUCAUAUGUAAAUAUACAUAUUACCACCUCAUUAU
RNAcentral lists this long non-coding RNA (200 nucleotides) under Lathyrus oleraceus (garden pea). RNAcentral's name for it is "Pisum sativum (pea) long non-coding RNA (PSAT_LNC016423)". Lineage: Eukaryota; Viridiplantae; Streptophyta; Magnoliopsida; Fabales; Fabaceae. The record is from RNAcentral.